Long non-coding RNA from Anser cygnoides (Swan goose), 1211 nucleotides. The record is from Ensembl. NCBI's taxonomy places the organism in Eukaryota, Metazoa, Chordata, Aves, Anseriformes, Anatidae.
GGACGUCGCUGUCGCGCCUGCAGUGGUUCUCGCUGGCGCUGCUCUUCGCGGGGGUGGCCCUGGUGCAGGCCGAGCAGGUGCGGCCGCCGCCGGGGGGCGGGGGGGGCGGCCCCGAGGACGGCGGGGGCCCCCCCCAGAGCUACCUGACGGGGCUGGCGGCCGUGGGGGCCUCGUGCCUGUCGUCGGGCUUCGCCGGCGUCUACUUCGAGCGGCUGCUCAAGACCUCGGGGGGCUCCAUCUGGGUGCGCAACCUGCAGCUGGGCGCCGUGGGCACGGCCGUGGGGCUGGCCGCCAUGCUGGCCGCCGAGGGCCGCGCCGUGGCCGCCGUGGGCUUCUUCCACGGCUACAGCCCGGCCGUCUGGGCCGUGGUGCUGAACCAGGCGGCCGGCGGGCUGCUGGUGGCCGUGGUGGUGCGCUACGCCGACAACAUCCUCAAGGGCUUCGCCACCGCCCUCUCCAUCCUGGCCUCCGCCGCCGCCUCCGCGCACCUCUUCGGCUUCCGGCCCCGCGGCGCCUUCGUGGCCGGCACCGCCAUGGUGCUGGCCGCCGUCUACCUCUACGGGAGGCCCCCCGGGGGCGCCGGGCGGCCCCGUGGCGGAGGAGGAGAAGGAGGAGGAGGAGGAGGGACGGAGGCCGCGGGGCCGCACGAGGGACACGGCGGCAAGUCAGUGGGGGCGGCGUGACGGGGAGGGGAAGGGCGCCCGGGGAGCCCCGCGGUGGGGGAGGGCGGCGGCGGCGGGGGGCUCGGCAGGCGGUGGAGGCUGAGAGGUUGGGGUUUGGGUGGCGGAGACCCCCACGUUGGUCUUCUUUGGGUGGCGGCGACCCCAAAGUUGGGGUUUUUUUGGGUGGUGGAGACCCAAAAGUUGGUUUUUUGUUGUUUUUUUUGGGUGGUGGAAGGUCCCAGCGUUGGGUUUUUGGGUGGUGGAGACCCCAGCGUUGGGUUUUUGGGUGGUGGAGACCCCAGCGUUGGGUUUGUAGGGUGGUGGAGACCCCAACGUUGGGGUUGUGGGGUGGUGGGGACCCCGAUAUUGGGGUUUGUGGGGCGGUGCAGACCCCAACGUUGGGUUGUUUUUGGGUGGUGAAGGAGAUUUUGGGGUUCCUUGGGGUUUGUGGGGUGGAGCCCCCAAAUUCGGGCCCCAGCGGGUGCCGCGGUCCCUGGGGGUUGCCCCCCCCCCCGCUGCCGGGGCUCGUUAGGGGGCGGCGCGGCGCCU